This 253-nucleotide ribosomal RNA is filed under the name uncultured bacterium. Its description in RNAcentral is "partial 16S ribosomal RNA". It matches the Rfam family "Bacterial small subunit ribosomal RNA", at positions 524 to 776 of the family's 1533-position model. The record is from RNAcentral.
GACGUAGGGCGCGAGCGUUGUCCGGAUUUAUUGGGCGUAAAGAGCUCGUAGGCGGCUCGUUGCGUCGGCUGUGAAAACCCGCGGCUCAACUGUGGGCUUGCAGCUGAUACGGGCGGGCUGGAGUUCGGUAGGGGAGACUGGAAUUCCUGGUGUAGCGGUGAAAUGCGUAGAUAUCGAGAGGAACACCUGCGGCGAAGGCGGGUUGCUGGGCUGACACUGACGCUGAUGCGCGAAAGCUAGGGGAGCGAACGGG